This 484-nucleotide ribosomal RNA is filed under the name uncultured bacterium. Its description in RNAcentral is "partial 16S ribosomal RNA". It matches the Rfam family "Bacterial small subunit ribosomal RNA", at positions 28 to 507 of the family's 1533-position model. The record is from RNAcentral.
AUUGAACGCUGGCGGCAUGCCUUACACAUGCAAGUCGAACGGCAGCGCGGGCUUCGGCCUGGCGGCGCGUGGCGGACGGGUGAGUAAUGCAUCGGAACGUGCCCAGCAGUGGGGGAUAGGCCGGCGACAGCCGGAUUAAUACCGCAUACGACCUGAGGGUGAAAGCGGGGGACCGAAAGGCCUCGCGCUUUUUGAGCGCCCGAUGUCGGAUUAGCUAGUUGGUGUGGUAAAGGCUUACCAAGGCGACGAUCCGUAGCUGGUCUGAGAGGACGACCAGCCACACUGGGACUGAGACACGGCCCAGACUCCUACGGGAGGCAGCAGUGGGGAAUUUUGGACAAAGGGGGCAACCCUGAUCCAGCCAUGCCGCGUGCGGGAAGAAGGCCUUCGGGUUGUAAACCGCUUUUGUUCGGGAAGAAAUCCUCUGGGCUAAUACCCCGGGGGGAUGACGGUACCGGAAGAAUAAGCACCGGCUAACUACGUG